GAGACGCGGUGCGCACGCGCGUGAGGGAUGUCGCGGAUUGGAUCACCUCCCACCCUGAGGCCCCCCAAGACUUUGAACAGUUCUUCAGUCAUCCUUACAGAAAGAUACCCUCUCCAGACAAACGCAGUAUUUAUAUACGGUCCAUUGGUAAAUACUGGAUCUCUAUGAAGCACCAGAAUUAUCAGUGAAGAAUAUAUUAAAUGGCUCACGGGCUACUGUAAAGCAUAUUUCUAUCGCUUGAGAGUAAAACUGCUAGAACCAGUUCCUGUUUCUACAACAAGGUGUUCCUUUAGAGUCAAUGAGAACACACAAAACCUACAAAUUCAUGCAGGGGACAUCCUGAAGUUCUUGAAAAAGAAGAAACCUGAAGAUGCCUUCUGUGUUGUGGGAAUAACAAUGAUUGAUCUUUACCCAAGAGACUUGUGGAAUUUUGUCUUUGGACAGGCCUCUUUGACAGAUGGCACUGGUGAGGUGGAUUGAUGAUGAAUCUUCUGGCACACCUGGAGCAACUCCAGAACACAGUCGUGAGGAUAAUGGGAAUUUACUGAAACCCGUGGAAGGAAGCCUUUAAGGAAUGGAAAGAGUGGAUAAUAAAAUGCCUGACUGUUCUCCAAAAAUAAGGACCUUCAAAUAGGAGUGAUUGAAAUAAAUGACUACUUGCAUGUUAUGCUUUCAUUUGGGUGGAAUACUUCAUCAGAAUAAACUAUUGAUCUUGUGCUGUGUCAAAGUAA
This is a long non-coding RNA of Homo sapiens (human), 731 nucleotides long. Ensembl annotates it as AMZ2 pseudogene 1. Its record names the gene AMZ2P1. The record is from Ensembl. NCBI's taxonomy places the organism in Eukaryota, Metazoa, Chordata, Mammalia, Primates, Hominidae.